ACUUCCCCGGCGUCGCCGCCGUCGUCCACCACCACCCCCACCGCGCCCCCACCCUCUCCUCGUUGCUGCCGGCCCCCACCUUCUCCCAAUCCCCUCACCUUCUCUCCCAUGGCCGGUGGAUUCGCCCCUCGCGGGAUCGAUUCCUCCGAGCCGACGGGGUCUUCAGGGCCGGACGGGAGCGGCACGUCCCCCAUCGGCGCGUUGGUGAGCGCGGCGGCGGCCGUGGCCGAGCUCGAGCCCGUAGCUCAGAUCCUUCAGGGCCGGACGGGAGCGGCGCGUCCCCCAUCGGUGCAUUGGUGAGCGCGGCGGCGGCCGUGGCCAAGCUCGAGCCCGCAGCUCAGAUCCGCAGGAUCCCGUCAAGAGCCUCGGCCCAUCCCAUGGAGAAGAUGUUGCGGCUCUUCUAGCUCCCCUCCCCUGCGCAGGUUGUGGGUACAACCGUAACCAGCAAAUCAGCCCCAUCUGCAGCAAAUCAGCCUGAGGAGGUGGAGGAGCAGGCACCCAGAACCAACAUGGUUGCAGGAAUAGCUUUAUAUUAGGAGCAGCUUCUCCACCACCACUCAGCGGUAGAGGGGGUGUGCUUCUUCCCCAACACAACAUAGCGGCAGCCACGGUAUCCUCGGCCCUCUCCCUCUAUCUACCCUCUUCUGUUCCUUACCGAAAAAUCAUUUUUUUACCUUGUAUAAUACUUGUGAUUUGGACCGAUUUGUGUUUUGGGGGGCAUCAAUUUGGUGCUUCCCCCGUCCAUGUGCUGCAGAGAAAAGGAGAAGAAGGGGAUGGAUGAGCAAGGAGCAGAAGGACCUGAAGAAGAAGGGCAAGGGAGGUGGGGCGAUAUGCAUGUCCAGGGAGGGUAUGGUGGACGACCAGUUCCGGCAGCUGCAGUCGCUGCAGGAGGAUAGCGGCAGCGCGUCGGGCUUCGUCGCCGGGGUCGCCACCCUCUUCAUCGACGACGCCGACCGGAUCAUCAACGACAUCGGCAGCCUGCUGGACGUCGGCGGAACCUAGCCACCACUCCCCGUCUCGCCCCUCGUUGAUUACUUGCCGUGCUCGAUUUUUCCUUCCACGGACGAUUCUGUCAUUCGCCUCUACCGUCGGUGGUCGUGCCAGUCAUGCUCCUACUGGGACAUGCAUCCUUUAGCUAGAUUCAUCUUUGUUUGAUGUAGUUCUUUGUGAUCUGAAAGCAACUGACUACUCAAUACCAAUCAGUGCAUGGAGGGAACUCAUGUCCACCACGCCGGCGACAGGAACAUGGAAAACGCAGUCCACGGUGCCACCAAUGAACAAGAGCUGAUCAGCCCAAAGUCUAUGGUUAAUGCCAUUCUUGGUAACAUUGGUCUGCCUGUUGCAAAACAAACAAGGACUACAAGAACUACAAUGGAUGUGCCGAGACAAGCAUUGUAAGGAUCCCAGUUAGAAUGAUGCUUGAUCUCCUGCUAGAGCAUCUUGGGCUUCACAAGGCCAUCUGAGACUCGGGCUCAAUGAGAACACAAUGAGAGUCAUUCUCUCUGACACUGCUGUUCAAGACGACUGGACCUGUCCACCGCGCAUGCCCAUUACCGGUGUAUGAACAUUGCAUCCUUUAAUUUACCCUGUAUAUGAACAUUCCAUUCUUCAAAUGUGUUGUACUAUCAUUCUGGUGGCUAUGGAGAUGUGUUGUACUGUAGUUUUGGUAUCCAUUGAUGAUGUCUUGCUCCGAUUACACUUGAAUCUGUA
Molecule: long non-coding RNA, 1710 nt
Organism: Triticum dicoccoides
Lineage: Eukaryota; Viridiplantae; Streptophyta; Magnoliopsida; Poales; Poaceae
Exons: 10
Source: RefSeq, a predicted model, not a curated record